CAAAACAAAGUGCCAUGAAUAUAUUUUGUUUCGCGCGAAAACAAAGUGCCAAAAAAAUUUCAUUUCCCUCUCUGUGCCAUGAAUAUAUUUUGUUUCCUUCACUUUUAGACCCAUACUCGAAAACCCCCCAAACCCCAAACACAGAAACCCCAAUGGAGAGACCCAUACUCGGAAACCCCCAAACCCCAAAGGCAGAAACCCCAACGGAGAGACCCAAACUCAAACCUCAGUUAGCAUCAAAACCCCAAACGAGAGACCCAAACCCACGGUAGAGCCAUCUGCGGUUCUUCCGAGCUCCAUCGGAUACGGCUCCUCCCAUCUCCCUCUACACUUGCACGGCUGACUAUUAAGUUUUUGGCUGGUAUUGGUGGUGGUGGGCUUGGGUUCUUCGCUGUGAAAAUGUCACCGAUUCCACUCUCUUAAUUUACUAGCACAAUUUUUUUUUUAAUCGCAAUCGCAAUCCCUCUGCACUUGCACGGCUGAAUUUGAUUUGCUACAUUCAAGGUUCAUAAUUAAUCAAUCUCAGUUUCUUUAUUUGCUAAUUUUAAAUCUUUACCAUUGAUUUGUGAUGUUGCAUUUGAAACAAAUGGUCGAAUUGUUUAAAAAUAUAAGGGAGAUGAUGUUGCAUCACACAUUCUCUUUGUCUCUCGCCCAUUACUCGAUGACUGUGAUGAAGCCUAGACACCUCGUGUUGUGGCUCACUGU
Humulus lupulus (European hop) is the source of this 705-nucleotide long non-coding RNA. RefSeq lists it as uncharacterized. Lineage: Eukaryota; Viridiplantae; Streptophyta; Magnoliopsida; Rosales; Cannabaceae. The transcript is spliced from 3 exons. The record is from RefSeq and is a predicted model, not a curated record.